AACGAACGCUGGCGGCAGGCCUAACACAUGCAAGUCGAACGCUCCAGCAAUGGAGAGUGGCAGACGGGUGAGUAACGCGUGGGAACCUUCCCAGUGGUACGGAAUAGCUCAGGGAAACUU
This 120-nucleotide ribosomal RNA is filed under the name uncultured bacterium. Its description in RNAcentral is "partial 16S ribosomal RNA". It matches the Rfam family "Bacterial small subunit ribosomal RNA", at positions 29 to 159 of the family's 1533-position model. The record is from RNAcentral.